UAUACCUGAAGUGAAAUCUAGCGCGGUGGCAGUUUCGUAAUUAUUGGAAAAUCUACAACAUGUAUUCAUAUCAGCAGAUAAGAUAGCUGAAGGGAAAAAGCAGCACGGUGGUGAUUUUGUAAUUACAAUGAAUGUGUUUCACGUCGAUAGCAAAUAAUGCCUGAGGGGAAAAAGCAUCCCUAUGAAAAUUUCAUUUUUCCCUCUUCUACUAGUCAAAAUUAGAAACACGAUUGUUUUUCCCUCUAACACAAACCCUAAUCUUUCUCACACAAACCCUUUCUCUCUCACAAACCUUAUUGUUCUCUGGUACUGACUACUGAGGUAUUGUUUUCCGGCAUCUUCUCGUCUCCCUUUGUUUCUCUCGCCAAUGGUACCGUUCGCGUCGACCUCUUUCUCUUUCGCAACCAGUAUUGAGUCGUCGACGUCGGUAGUGUUCUCUUGCGCCGGAAAAGUCUCUCGUUGAUACUGUUCUUUGGUUCACUCACUUGCUCGAUUCAUCUCUGCCAGUGCUGAUUUUGUACUCGCAGAUAGGACUCUCUCUCUCUCUCUCUCCCCCGGUACAGUUCUCACAGUAUUCAUUCAUCAUCGUUUAUAGUGACAAACUCAGAUUUAUCAAUAAUCUAAGGUUGAUCUCUCGAACUCAAUAGCUGCAUCGCUCUCACUCAUUCGGUCGAUCAUUGAAUCUCGCUCACUCGGUCACUAGAUCAUUGACUCGUUGGUUGAAGGAACUGAAAAAGGAACAUUUGUACCACAAGGACAUGAUGAUAUCUUAACAAAGGCUAUUGGAACAUUCGAGCAUGGUGGUCGUGUCCGUGGUGUUGAAGAGAAAUUGGAACUAGAAUUCACAUCGGUGGAUAUUAGUGCUGAUGUUAGUUUUCCUACUUGACAUCGGUUGCCAUUGUAAACCCGAUGUGAAAUCAUAUGUUUACAGGUUAAUGGGUCACAUAUCAAAUCAGAGCAUAACAGGCCGAAUGUGGAUUAUUGUCUAUCACAUCGGGGCAGUACUCGAUGUAAAAUGAAAAUGACAUACAACAUCAUCUUUAGUGACAUCGGUUAGGACCCGAUGUGAAAUAUCGAUUCCAACCGAUGUGAAAUGUCAUUUCUGUAGUAGUAAUAAGCAUAUAUGUCUUGUUUCGUUUAAAAAAAAAAAGCAUUUAUCUUGUUGUAAUUUGUCAAAAACUGAUAUACAAAUUAAAUAUUUAUAUAUAAAAUUUAGGCUUAAUUACACCACAUGUCCUUUAAGUUUGACGUUUGUAACAGAUAGGUCAUUUAAGUUUGUUUUGUAACAGAUAGGUCCUUUAACUUUGUAACACUGUGCAACUAAGUCCUUCCGUUAACAAAACAUUUAUUUUCUUAAAACAAAACACUUAACACAUUACAUUAAUGUUACACUCAACAAUGUUUCAUCGUCUAACAUGAUUGCACGCUUAAAUUAAACUAAAAAAAACAACAUGUUACAAGGAUUGUUCACUUUACUUGAAUAAAUAUCAAGCUUAUUGUUGCAAUAACACAAGUUAAAGCCAACAACAUGCAAGUUACAUCAGCAAUCUUCAAAAAUAAUCAUAACAUUUUCCAAUUAAUAACAUGUUUUUGCCUUUUGCAUGCCACAUCACAGACUUCAGAGUCACGUCAGCGUUUUUUUGACGGUGAGUUAACGGAAGGACUUAGUUGUAUACUGUUACAAAGUUAAAGGACCUAUCUGUUACAAAACAAACUUAAAGGACCUAUCUGUUACAAACGUCAAACAUAAAGGACCCAUGGUGUAAUUAAACCUAAAAUUUACUAUAUGUAAGAAUGUUUAAAAGACACGAGACUAAUAACAUGCACAUUUCUAUUUUAAAUAAUCGACCCACUAUUCCUAACUAAUUGAUCAGUGAUUAGAUAUUUUCUUAUAUUCUAAUUAUAAAGAAAAAAAAUUAUAUUGAGAUGCAUUAAACCAUCUCAACCUUGAUUUCCUCACUUCAUUAAACUAACUAUCUAUGAUUAUUUUGUUUAGAAAAAGGUUGUUCUCUUGAUUUUCUUGGAUCCAAGAAUCUAAAGAAAUUCAUAAACCCUCUUUUCAAUAAAACGUUGAAUAUAAAACCCUAAUAGAAGCCCUAUCCCUCUCACUCAUUCUUCAUCACUCUUCACAUAAAAGUUCACACAAUUCUCUCUCUCUCUCUCUCUCUCUCUCUCUCUCUCUCUCUCUCUCACUCUUUAUCCUUCUCACUCACUCUUCAUCGCUCUUCAUGUCGAAGUUCACACACCACCAUGAGAUCCCCUAUGUUUGGUGGUUUUUCUUCUUCUUUUACAAACACUGGUUCAUCAUCAUCAUCAUGGUUCCAGGCAUAUGCUUCCUUCACCUAUUGCAUGGACCUCCAGGAACAGGAAAAUCUACCCUAGUUGCUGCUAUGGCAAAAUAUAUCUGAAAUUUGAUGUGUAUGAUUUGGAUUUAAGCGGUGUGUAUAGUAACUCAUAUCUCAUGAGAGUCAUGAGGAACACAUCUAACAAAUCCAUCAUUGUUAUUGAAGACAUUGACUGCAACAAGGAGGUGCUUAACUGAUCAAGAUCAGAAAUGUUUUCAGUUAAUUUCAUGCCGCCAACACCUGAGGAUCUUGGAUAUGAUGAGACUCAGGAUCUUGGAUAUGCAGCGACUCAUGGUCUUGGAUAUACUGGCAUUGUUGCUCCUAAAAAGUUUACUCUUUCGAGUCUUCUUAACUAUAUGGAUGGUUUGUGGUCAGGGAACGAAUUAUUGUAUUUACUACGAACCAUAAGGACAAAGUAGACCCAGCAUUGUUACGCCCCGGUCGAAUGGACAUGCAUAUUCACUUGUCCUUUCUUAAGGCCAAUACAUUCAGAAUCUUAGCUUCAAAUUAUUUGGACAUUGAAGAACAUCAUCAGCCACUCUUUGAGCAAAUUGAAGAGCUAUUGGAAAAAGUAGAUGCCAUGCACACCUGCUGUAGUGGCAGAGCAGCUGUUGAGAAGUGAGGAUGCUGAUGUUGCUCUCAAAGCACUUCUCAAAUUUCUUCAAGAAAUUGAUAUUUCAGGAGAGAAAAACUAAUACUAGAAAUGCAUUAUGUCAUUUGCAUCUGCUACUAUUCUAAUUUUCAUGACAUUGGCAGAGUUUUGAGAUAUCCAUGUAAUUUUCAAGUGUAAUUUUAAACUGUAUAAGUUGUCCAACAAUGUAUUUACGACGCCACAAAAUUAGUGUUGGACAAUUUUUGUAUGGGUAAGAACGAUGCAACAAUUAAAAUAAAGAUGAAUAAAUGAUUGCGUAGUUUAGCCGAAGCGUGUGUGAACACUAAGUU
This is a long non-coding RNA of Medicago truncatula (barrel medic), 3287 nucleotides long. RefSeq lists it as uncharacterized. The record is from RefSeq and is a predicted model, not a curated record. NCBI's taxonomy places the organism in Eukaryota, Viridiplantae, Streptophyta, Magnoliopsida, Fabales, Fabaceae. The transcript is spliced from 5 exons.